This 329-nucleotide unclassified non-coding RNA is filed under the name soil metagenome. RNAcentral describes it as "partial contains 5.8S ribosomal RNA, internal transcribed spacer 2, and large subunit ribosomal RNA". The stretch from base 1 to 120 matches the Rfam family "5.8S ribosomal RNA", at positions 35 to 154 of the family's 154-position model. The record is from RNAcentral.
GAUGAAGAACGCAGCGAAAUGCGAUAAGUAAUGUGAAUUGCAGAAUUCAGUGAAUCAUCGAAUCUUUGAACGCACAUUGCGCCCCCUGGUAUUCCGGGGGGCAUGCCUGUCCGAGCGUCAUUACAACCCUCAAGCUCAGCUUGGUGUUGGGCCCCGCCGCCCCGGCGGGCCCUAAAGUCAGUGGCGGUGCCGUCCGGCUCCGAGCGUAGUAAUUCUUCUCGCUCUGGAGGUCCGGUCGUGUGCUCGCCAGCAACCCCCAAUUUUUUUCAGGUUGACCUCGGAUCAGGUAGGGCUACCCGCUGAACUUAAGCAUAUCAAUAAGCGGAGGA